AGAGUUUGAUCCUGGCUCAGGAUGAACGCUAGCUACAGGCUUAACACAUGCAAGUCGAGGGGAAACGACAUCGAAAGCUUGCUUUUGAUGGGCGUCGACCGGCGCACGGGUGAGUAACGCGUAUCCAACCUGCCCACCACUUGGGGAUAGCCUUGCGAAAGUAAGACUAAUACCCAAUGACGUCUCUAGAAGACAUCUGAAAGAGAUUAAAGAUUUAUCGGUGAUGGAUGGGGAUGCGUCUGAUUAGCUUGUUGGCGGGGUAACGGCCACCAGGCGACGAUCAGUAGGGGUUCGUGAGAGGAACGGUCCCCCACCAUUGGACUGAGACACGGUCCAAACUCCGUACGGGAGGCGA
This 355-nucleotide ribosomal RNA is filed under the name uncultured bacterium. RNAcentral describes it as "bacterial SSU rRNA". It matches the Rfam family "Bacterial small subunit ribosomal RNA", at positions 8 to 351 of the family's 1533-position model. The record is from RNAcentral.